This 235-nucleotide ribosomal RNA is filed under the name uncultured bacterium. RNAcentral describes it as "partial 16S ribosomal RNA". It matches the Rfam family "Bacterial small subunit ribosomal RNA", at positions 1268 to 1500 of the family's 1533-position model. The record is from RNAcentral.
CGGAUCCCUGAAAACCGGUCUCAGUUCGGAUCGCAGUCUGCAACUCGACUGCGUGAAGGUGGAGUCGCUGGUAAUCGCGGACCAGCAACGCCGCGGUGAAUGCGUUCCCGGGCCUUGUACACACCGCCCGUCAAGUCAUGAAAGUGGGCAGCACCCGAAGACGGUGGCCUAACCCUUGUGGGGGGAGCCGUCUAAGGUGAGGCUCGUGAUUGGGACUAAGUCGUAACAAGGUAAC